GAUGAACGCUAGCGGGAGGCCUAACACUUGCAAGCCGAGCGGUAGAGUUUCUUCGGAAACUUGAGAGCGGCGCACGGGUGCGUAACACGUGUGCAACCUACCUUUAUCUGGGGGAUAGCCUUUCGAAAGGAAGAUUAAUACCCCAUAAUAUAAUGAUUGGCAUCAAUUAUUAUUGAAAACUCCGGUGGAUAGAGAUGGGCAUGCGCAAGAUUAGAUAGUUGGUGAGGUAACGGCUCACCAAGUCAAUGAUCUUUAGGGGUCCUGAGAGGGAGAUCCCCCACACUGGUACUGAGACACGGACCAGACUCCUACGGGAGGCAGCAGUGAGGAAUAUUGGACAAUGGGUGAGAGCCUGAUCCAGCCAUCCCGCGUGAAGGAGGACGGUCCUAUGGAUUGUAAACUUCUUUUGUACAGGGAUAAACCUACCCUCGUGAGGGUAGCUGAAGGUACUGUACGAAUAAGCACCGGCUAACUCCGUG
This 479-nucleotide ribosomal RNA is filed under the name uncultured bacterium. RNAcentral's name for it is "partial 16S ribosomal RNA". It matches the Rfam family "Bacterial small subunit ribosomal RNA", at positions 28 to 507 of the family's 1533-position model. The record is from RNAcentral.